This 729-nucleotide ribosomal RNA is filed under the name uncultured bacterium. RNAcentral's name for it is "bacterial SSU rRNA". It matches the Rfam family "Bacterial small subunit ribosomal RNA", at positions 15 to 789 of the family's 1533-position model. The record is from RNAcentral.
GAUCCUGGCUCAGAACGAACGCUGGCGGCAUGCCUAAUACAUGCAAGUCGAACGAGAUCUUCGGAUCUAGUGGCGCACGGGUGCGUAACGCGUGGGAAUCUGCCCUUGGGUUCGGAAUAACGUCCCSAAACUGACGCUAAUACCGGAUGAUGACGUAAGUCCAAAGAUUUAUCGCCCAGGGAUGAGCCCGCGUAGGAUUAGCUAGUUGGUGGGGUAAAGGCCUACCAAGGCGACGAUCCUUAGCUGGUCUGAGAGGAUGAUCAGCCACACUGGGACUGAGACACGGCCCAGACUCCUACGGGAGGCAGCAGUAGGGAAUAUUGGACAAUGGGGGCAACCCUGAUCCAGCAAUGCCGCGUGAGUGAUGAAGGCCUUAGGGUUGUAAAGCUCUUUUACCCGGGAUGAUAAUGACAGUACCGGGAGAAUAAGCCCCGGCUAACUCCGUGCCAGCAGCCGCGGUAAUACGGAGGGGGCUAGCGUUGUUCGGAAUUACUGGGCGUAAAGCGCACGUAGGCGGCGAUUUAAGUCAGAGGUGAAAGCCCGGGGCUCAACCCCGGAACUGCCUUUGAGACUGGAUUGCUUGAAUCCGGGAGAGGUGAGUGGAAUUCCGAGUGUAGAGGUGAAAUUCGUAGAUAUUCGGAAGAACACCAGUGGCGAAGGCGGCUCACUGGACCGGCAUUGACGCUGAGGUGCGAAAGCGUGGGGGAGCAAACAGGAUUAGAUACCCUG